CCCUACGGGGCGCAGCAGUGAGGAAUAUUGGUCAAUGGUCGGGAGACUGAACCAGCCAAGCCGCGUGAGGGAUGAAGGUACAGAGUAUCGUAAACCUCUUUUGUCAGGGAACAAAGGCGGGGACGUGUCCCCGGAUGAGUGUACCUGAAGAAAAAGCAUCGGCUAACUCCGUGCCAGCAGCCGCGGUAAUACGGAGGAUGCGAGCGUUAUCCGGAUUUAUUGGGUUUAAAGGGUGCGCAGGAGGUCUGUUAAGGCAGCGGUCCAAGGACGGGGCUCAACCA
Molecule: ribosomal RNA, 281 nt
Filed under: uncultured bacterium
Lineage: Bacteria
Description: partial 16S ribosomal RNA
Rfam family: Bacterial small subunit ribosomal RNA
Source: RNAcentral